GCUAAGGAUAACGAGAGAGGCUUCCACGGUUUACCGUUUGGGGGCCUUUUUCUUUUGCGGUUUGAUCUCCAUUAAGU
RNAcentral lists this unclassified non-coding RNA (77 nucleotides) under Rhizobium mesoamericanum STM3625. Its description in RNAcentral is "ctRNA_p42d". The stretch from base 14 to 58 matches the Rfam family "ctRNA". Rfam says of the family: This family represents a group of ctRNAs (or counter-transcribed RNAs) from p42d and related plasmids. ctRNAs are small, highly structured, antisense sequences which are involved in negative regulation. Members of this family are known to bind to the mRNA of repC causing translational repression. This model contains the predicted stem-loop structure followed by a U-rich tract which is proposed to act as a Rho-independent transcriptional terminator. The record is from RNAcentral. Lineage: Bacteria; Pseudomonadati; Pseudomonadota; Alphaproteobacteria; Hyphomicrobiales; Rhizobiaceae.